UACGUAGGUCCCGAGCGUUGUCCGGAUUUAUUGGGCGUAAAGCGAGCGCAGGUGGUUUAUUAAGUCUGGUGUAAAAGGCAGUGGCUCAACCAUUGUAUGCAUUGGAAACUGGCAGACUUGAGUGCAGGAGAGGAGAGUGGAAUUCCAUGUGCAGCGGUGAAAUGCGUAGAUAUAUGGAGGAACACCGGUGGCGAAAGCGGCUCUCUGGCCUGUAACUGACACUGAGGCUCGAAAGCGUGGGGAGCAAACAGG
This 252-nucleotide ribosomal RNA is filed under the name uncultured bacterium. RNAcentral's name for it is "partial 16S ribosomal RNA". It matches the Rfam family "Bacterial small subunit ribosomal RNA", at positions 524 to 776 of the family's 1533-position model. The record is from RNAcentral.